CGCACCUUGCGCCCUCUGGUAUUCCAUAGGGCAUGCCUGUUUGAGUGUCAUGAAGACUCACCCUAAUCAGUUUCUUGACUGGCUAGUGGUGGAUUGGGCGUCUGCCAUCACUGGCUCGCCUUAAAAGCAUGAGUGGUCUCUGGAUGUAAUACGUUUCGUCCUCAACGGCUGCUGACAACAACCCAUAUUCUUUAAUCUGACCUCAAAUCAGGUAGGGCUACCCGCUGAACUUAA
This 234-nucleotide unclassified non-coding RNA is filed under the name Cryptococcus sp. (in: basidiomycete fungi). RNAcentral describes it as "Cryptococcus sp. (in: Fungi) partial contains 5.8S ribosomal RNA, internal transcribed spacer 2, and large subunit ribosomal RNA". The record is from RNAcentral. Lineage: Eukaryota; Fungi; Basidiomycota; Tremellomycetes; Tremellales; Cryptococcaceae.